UACGUAGGCAGCAAGCGUUGUUCGGAAUUACUGGGCGUAAAGAGUUCGUAGGCGGUGUGCCAAGUUUGGUGUGAGAUCUCCCGGCUCAACUGGGAGGGUGCGCCGAAUACUGGCAUGCUCGAGUACAGGAGAGGAAAGCGGAAUUUCUGGUGUAGCGGUGAAAUGCGUAGAUAUCAGAAGGAACACCUGUGGUGUAGACGGCUUUCUGGACUGUAACUGACGCUGAGGUGCGAAAGCCAGGGGAGCAAACGGG
This 253-nucleotide ribosomal RNA is filed under the name uncultured bacterium. Its description in RNAcentral is "partial 16S ribosomal RNA". It matches the Rfam family "Bacterial small subunit ribosomal RNA", at positions 524 to 776 of the family's 1533-position model. The record is from RNAcentral.